Molecule: long non-coding RNA, 258 nt
Filed under: Brassica napus (rape)
Lineage: Eukaryota; Viridiplantae; Streptophyta; Magnoliopsida; Brassicales; Brassicaceae
Description: long non-coding RNA (BNAP_LNC016906)
Source: RNAcentral
AGUCGGGUUUCAGAACACUAACACUUCGUGUGUAACAUUUAAAUGUAGAUACAUAAUCAAAAAUAAAAAUUAUAUCAUAUAAAUUUGUUUUGUUUCGAAGAUAAUUUUGCGCUUUGAAAAGGCGAGUCAAAAUCUACUUUGAAUUAAAAAAAAAGAGUCAGAUAAUUAAAGAUUAAUGUUAUUUUAACUAUACAUGUGAUUUUAUAUAUAUAGUUCAUAGUCGAUUUGUUAUUAUUUGGAUAUAUUGGACUGCAUAUA